CUAACUUAUUUAAAUAAAAGCUUCGAAGAAACUGUUCAUGGUCUCCAGCCUGUAUUCGGAUAACCAACAUUCUCACGACCCAAAAUUAAACACGCAGAGGAAAAAAAGGCCACUCCCCAGCCCCCGCCCCUCCUCCAACAAAGGUUGUGAAAGACAAGCCAUCAGAGGAUCCCACGACAUGGCUGCAGUGAGCACUGAAGGACAAAACUCAACAGUUCUGUUCGACUUCCUCUCCAACCUUGGGCUGCAGAAGUAUUAUCCGAACAAACUCACUCUUCAAUCUCUCUUGGAAGUCAACAAAAGCAGCAUCUACGAAAAAGUUGUUCUGUCAGAGGAUGAAAUACCAUUUUAU
This is a long non-coding RNA of Hippocampus comes (tiger tail seahorse), 352 nucleotides long. RefSeq lists it as uncharacterized. Lineage: Eukaryota; Metazoa; Chordata; Actinopteri; Syngnathiformes; Syngnathidae. The transcript has 3 exons. The record is from RefSeq and is a predicted model, not a curated record.